AUUGAACGCUGGCGGCAUGCUUUACACAUGCAAGUCGAACGGCAACACGCCCUUGGGUGUUGCGGCGAGGCGCACGGGGGUGUAUAGUACAGCAACACAUCCAGAGGAGGGGGGUAUAGCAGCGAGAGAUGCGGAUUUAUCGCACGUGAUACGUGGAGGAGAAAGGGGGGGAGAUUCGGACUGUUUGGUCUUGCAGCUUCCGAUGGCCGAUUAGCGAGUUGGUGGGGUAAAGGCCUACCAAGGCGACGAUCCGUAGCUGGUCUGAGAGGACGACCAGCCACACUGGGACUGAGACACGGCCCAGACUCCUACGGGAGGCAGCAGUGGGGAAUUUUGGACAAUGGGCGCAAGCCUGAUCCAGCAAUGCCGCGUGUGGGAAGAAGGCCUUCGGGUUGUAAACCGCUUUUGGCAGGAACGAAACGGUGUGCGCUAAUACCGCGCGCUAAUGACGGUACCUGCAGAAUAAGCACCGGCUAACUACGUG
RNAcentral lists this ribosomal RNA (484 nucleotides) under uncultured bacterium. Its description in RNAcentral is "partial 16S ribosomal RNA". It matches the Rfam family "Bacterial small subunit ribosomal RNA", at positions 29 to 507 of the family's 1533-position model. The record is from RNAcentral.